CCUACGGGCGGCUGCAGUGGGGAAUAUUGGACAAUGGGGGCAACCCUGAUCCAGCCAUGCCGCGUGUGUGAAGAAGGCCCUCGGGUUGUAAAGCACUUUCAGUGAGGAAGAACGCCUGGUGGUUAAUACCCAUCAGGAAAGACAUCACUCACAGAAGAAGCACCGGCUAACUCCGUGCCAGCAGCCGCGGUAAUACGGAGGGUGCGAGCGUUAAUCGGAAUUACUGGGCGUAAAGCGCGCGUAGGUGGCUUGAUAAGCCGGUUGUGAAAGCCCCGGGCUCAACCUGGGAACGGCAUCCGGAACUGUCAAGCUAGAGUGCAGGAGAGGAAGGUAGAAUUCCCGGUGUAGCGGGGAAAUGCGUAGAGAUCGGGAGGAAGACCAGUGGCGAAGGCGGCCUUAUGGACUGACACUGACACUGAGGUGCGAAAGCGUGGGUAGCAAACAGGAUUAGAUAACCCGGUAGUC
This 465-nucleotide ribosomal RNA is filed under the name Vreelandella stevensii. RNAcentral describes it as "partial 16S ribosomal RNA". It matches the Rfam family "Bacterial small subunit ribosomal RNA", at positions 338 to 795 of the family's 1533-position model. The record is from RNAcentral. Lineage: Bacteria; Pseudomonadati; Pseudomonadota; Gammaproteobacteria; Oceanospirillales; Halomonadaceae.